This 508-nucleotide ribosomal RNA is filed under the name uncultured glomeraceous AM fungus. RNAcentral describes it as "SSU rRNA". It matches the Rfam family "Eukaryotic small subunit ribosomal RNA", at positions 569 to 1078 of the family's 1831-position model. Lineage: Eukaryota; Fungi; Glomeromycota; Glomeromycetes; Glomerales; Glomeraceae. The record is from RNAcentral.
AGCAGCCGCGGUAAUUCCAGCUCCAAUAGCGUAUAUUAAAGUUGUUGCAGUUAAAAAGCUCGUAGUUGAAUUUCGGGGUUAGUAGGUUGGUCAUGCCUCUGGUAUGUACUGGUCUCACUGAUUCCUCCUUCCUGAUAAAUCUUAAUGCCAUUAAUUUGGUGUUUUGGGGAAUUUGGACUGUUACUUUGAAAAAAUUAGAGUGUUUAAGGCAAGCUAACGCUUGAAUACAUUAGCAUGGAAUAAUGAAAUAGGACGUUCGAUCCUAUUUUGUUGGUUUCUAGGAUUGACGUAAUGAUUAAUAGGGAUAGUUGGGGGCAUUAGUAUUCAAUUGUCAGAGGUGAAAUUCUUGGAUUUAUUGAAGACUAACUACUGCGAAAGCAUUUGCCAAGGAUGUUUUCAUUAAUCAAGAACGAAAGUUAGGGGAUCGAAGACGAUCAGAUACCGUCGUAGUCUUAACCAUAAACUAUGCCGACUAGGGAUCGGAUGAUGUUAAUUUUUUAAUGACUCA